AACGAACGCUGGCGGCAGGCCUAACACAUGCAAGUCGAGCGGACCCUUCGGGGUUAGCGGCGGACGGGUGAGUAACGCGUGGGAAGAUGCCCUUCUCUACGGAAUAGUCCUGGGAAACUGGGGGUAAUACCGUAUACGCCCUUAGGGGGAAAGAUUUAUCGGGGAAGGAUUAGCCCGCGUUGGAUUAGGUAGUUGGUGGGGUAAUGGCCUACCAAGCCGACGAUCCAUAGCUGGUUUGAGAGGAUGCUCAGCCACACUGGGACUGGGACACGGCCCAGACUCCUACGGGAGGCAGCAGUGGGGAAUCUUAGACAAUGGGGGCAACCCUGAUCUAGCCAUGCCGCGUAAGUGAUGAAGGCCUUAGGGUUGUAAAGCUCUUUCAGCUGGGAAGAUAAUGACGGUACCAGCAGAAGAAGCCCCGGCUAACUCCGUG
RNAcentral lists this ribosomal RNA (433 nucleotides) under uncultured bacterium. RNAcentral's name for it is "partial 16S ribosomal RNA". It matches the Rfam family "Bacterial small subunit ribosomal RNA", at positions 29 to 507 of the family's 1533-position model. The record is from RNAcentral.